RNAcentral lists this long non-coding RNA (598 nucleotides) under Homo sapiens (human). RNAcentral describes it as "non-protein coding lnc-CYP7B1-6:7". The record is from RNAcentral. Lineage: Eukaryota; Metazoa; Chordata; Mammalia; Primates; Hominidae.
ACUCCCGGUCUCUUCCUCUGAAGAUGCUGGAGACUUUGUUGCAAGAAAGGAUGGCUUUAGGUCAUGUUGCUGAGGCCUGAUCUUAAAGAUCUAAUUGCUAUUGGAAGAGAAUCCUGUUUCCCAACUGGGCCUCCCCUCUGGAGAUGGAGCAAGGAAGACUGUCCAACUCUGCUCUGGGCACCCUGCUGAUGGAUGAGGUGUCAGGCCAGUCGUCAUGUGAGGACUGGUUUCCAAAUGAUGAGAAAACUGAGGCUCUGAGAGAUGACAUCAUAAAGCCUUGUAAGACCCAGUUGCUGUGCUCCACCUUCAUACCUUCGCCUAUGUUAGAACUUCUGAGAAGCUGAAGCAUCACAUAUAAAAAGCCAAGACCAUCCUCAAGGAGUUUAAUGAAUGUGGCAUCACAAGAAAAAUAUGCAUCAACAUUGAAAAGCAAAGCCUUCCAGCCAGUUCAAUGGUGGGAGUCUCCCCCUGCUCUUCCUGCACAAUCAUUUCCCAUUGAGGAAGAAUGUGAAAAUGACGCACAGGUGAGGGAGGCAUACUAUAAGACCGCUUCUUACCUUUCGUUUCCUGGAGCCAAUAUGAAUGAAGACCCAGAGAG